UUAACUAAAGCCAAAAUAGAGGCUCAUCACUGUUAAUGAUGUAAUUGAAAUAAAUAUGAUUUCUAGUUAAG
RNAcentral lists this transfer RNA (71 nucleotides) under Lysmata boggessi. Its description in RNAcentral is "tRNA-Asn". Lineage: Eukaryota; Metazoa; Arthropoda; Malacostraca; Decapoda; Hippolytidae. The record is from RNAcentral.